UAUUAACGCUGGCGGCGUGCCUAAUACAUGCAAGUCGAGCGAACAGAUGAGGAGCUUGCUCCUCUGACGUUAGCGGCGGACGGGUGAGUAACACGUGGAUAACCUACCUAUAAGACUGGGAUAACUUCGGGAAACCGGAGCUAAUACCGGAUAAUAUAUUGAACCGCAUGGUUCAAUAGUGAAAGACGGUUUUGCUGUCACUUAUAGAUGGAUCCGCGCCGCAUUAGCUAGUUGGUAAGGUAACGGCUUACCAAGGCAACGAUGCGUAGCCGACCUGAGAGGGUGAUCGGCCACACUGGAACUGAGACACGGUCCAGACUCCUACGGGAGGCAGCAGUAGGGAAUCUUCCGCAAUGGGCGAAAGCCUGACGGAGCAACGCCGCGUGAGUGAUGAAGGUCUUCGGAUCGUAAAACUCUGUUAUUAGGGAAGAACAAAUGUGUAAGUAACUAUGCACGUCUUGACGGUACCUAAUCAGAAAGCCACGGCUAACUACGUG
RNAcentral lists this ribosomal RNA (497 nucleotides) under uncultured bacterium. RNAcentral's name for it is "partial 16S ribosomal RNA". It matches the Rfam family "Bacterial small subunit ribosomal RNA", at positions 29 to 507 of the family's 1533-position model. The record is from RNAcentral.